Papaver somniferum (opium poppy) is the source of this 836-nucleotide RNA transcript. RefSeq lists it as uncharacterized. The transcript has 7 exons. The record is from RefSeq and is a predicted model, not a curated record. Lineage: Eukaryota; Viridiplantae; Streptophyta; Magnoliopsida; Ranunculales; Papaveraceae.
UAGUCUGAUGAGAAAAUGGGAUGAAAAAUCCAUCUCCUUCCUCAUCAGUCUCUCCAUUCUGAAGACUAUAACAGUGAUAUUUAUUUUGAUUAUGGAAAUAUGUCUCAGAGAACAAGCACCAGCAGUACUGUUUCUGCCACUCGCCUCGCCCGUGUUCGUUGUCAAUCCUAAAGGUGCUAAUGGAAGAACUGGUAAGGAAUUGCUAAACAUAGAAAUAUUUGUGAACGUUUGACCUCAACUUCGUCUCAUGCCAUUGAGAUUGCAAGGGAGAAGCAGUUGUUGAGCAUCGGUAUAGGGGCUGAUGGAAGAAUGAUUGCCUGGACAGAUCUUGCUCAAAAUUGAAAUAUUACCAAUACUCUUUAUUUGGUACAAAAGAAGCACUUGGGUUUAACCUUCAUGGUUGUGGCUCAGGUGUAGGACCUUUUCUGGUAUUGUAUCCAGCUGGAAUUACCUCCGAAGUUGGUGUAAUACAUAUCUGUCUGCACUACAUAAAGGGAAAACACGAAGGAGAAAAAAGACAACUGCUGGGAGCUAGGCCAUGCGCUGGUUGUUCUAGCUUCUACAUCCUUAAGCAGAGGAGAAAGUGAAAUCAGAUCUGGCUAAGCUACAAUAAUACUCCUACUGUCUGUCUGUAAAGCACAAGAUUUUUCCCGGGAAAAGAAGAAAAAGAAAAAAGACCAGCUCCGUGAGCUAAGCCAUGUAUUUUGUGUGUUCUAGAUUCUACAUCUGCAAGGAUUGUUCCAAAGGUCUUCCGUUCUUUUAUGUGUUUCCGUAGGUGCUUCAGUAAUUUUACAUGUAUUUGGUUGCUAAACAUAGUCUUAAAAAAAAAAAUGGCU